This 73-nucleotide transfer RNA is filed under the name Clostridioides difficile. Its description in RNAcentral is "tRNA-Met(cat)". The stretch from base 8 to 67 matches the Rfam family "tRNA", at positions 7 to 64 of the family's 71-position model. From Rfam's summary of the family: Transfer RNA (tRNA) molecules are approximately 80 nucleotides in length. Their secondary structure includes four short double-helical elements and three loops (D, anti-codon, and T loops). The record is from RNAcentral. Lineage: Bacteria; Bacillati; Bacillota; Clostridia; Peptostreptococcales; Peptostreptococcaceae.
GUGGAANGUGGAGCAGUUGGCAGCUCGUCGGGCUCAUAACCCGAAGGUCGUAGGUUCAAGUCCUGCCUCCGCA